CCUACGGGAGGCAGCAGUGAGGAAUAUUGGUCAAUGGGCGCUAGCCUGAACCAGCCAAGUAGCGUGAAGGAUGACUGCCCUAUGGGUUGUAAACUUCUUUUAUAUGGGAAUAAAGUCCAGUAUGUAUACUGCUUUGCAUGUACCUUAUGAAUAAGGAUCGGCUAACUCCGUGCCAGCAGCCGCGGUAAUACGGAGGAUCCGAGCGUUAUCCGGAUUUAUUGGGUUUAAAGGGAGCGUAGGAGGGUUGUUAAGUCAGUUGUGAAAGUUUGCGGCUCAACCGUAAAAUUGCAGUUGAUACUGGCAGCCUUGAGUACAGGAGAGGUAUGCGGAAUUCGUGGUGUAGCGGUGAAAUGCUUAGAUAUCACGAAGAACUCCGAUUGCGAAGGCAGCCUGCUGGACUGUAACUGACGCUGAUGCUCGAAAGUGUGGGUAUCAAACAGGAUUAGAUACCCCAGUAGUC
This 460-nucleotide ribosomal RNA is filed under the name uncultured bacterium. RNAcentral's name for it is "partial 16S ribosomal RNA". It matches the Rfam family "Bacterial small subunit ribosomal RNA", at positions 338 to 795 of the family's 1533-position model. The record is from RNAcentral.